RNAcentral lists this ribosomal RNA (278 nucleotides) under uncultured bacterium. RNAcentral's name for it is "partial 16S ribosomal RNA". It matches the Rfam family "Bacterial small subunit ribosomal RNA", at positions 506 to 784 of the family's 1533-position model. The record is from RNAcentral.
UGCCAGCAGCCGCGGUAAUACGUAAGGGGCAAGCGUUAUCCGGAUUUAUUGGGCAUAAAGCGCGCGUAGGUGGUAUCUUAAGUCAGGUGUUAAAUCCUGUGGCUCAACCAGAGGUUGCGCCUGAAACUGAGAUACUAGAGGACAGUAGAGGGAAGCGGAACUCACGGUGUAGCGGUGGAAUGCGUAGAUAUUGUGAGGAACACCAGUUGCGAAGGCGGCUUCCUGGUCUGCUCCUGACACUGAGGUGCGAAAGCGUGGGGAGCGAACGGGAUUAGAUA